Vicugna pacos (alpaca) is the source of this 86-nucleotide non-coding RNA. The record is from RefSeq and is a predicted model, not a curated record. Lineage: Eukaryota; Metazoa; Chordata; Mammalia; Artiodactyla; Camelidae.
CUCCCCUCCAACAAAAAAUAAAAAGAUAAAUUAAAAAAAAAUUCAAUGUACAGUUUCUACCGAAUGCAUUAUCACAGAUAGGAAGA